UGGGGAAUUUUGGACAAUGGGGGCAACCCUGAUCCAGCCAUCCCGCGUGUGCGAUGAAGGCCUUCGGGUUGUAAAGCACUUUUGGCAGGGAAGAAACAGCCUGGGCUAAUAUCCCGGGCGACUGACGGUACCUGCAGAAUAAGCACCGGCUAACUACGUGCCAGCAGCCGCGGUAAUACGUAGGGUGCAAGCGUUAAUCGGAAUUACUGGGCGUAAAGCGUGCGCAGGCGGUUCGGAAAGAAAGGUGUGAAAUCCCAGGGCUUAACCUUGGAACUGCACUUUUAACUACCGGGCUAGAGUACGUCAGAGGGGGGUAGAACUCCACGUGUAGCAGUGAAAUGCGUAGAGAUGUGGAGGAAUACCGAUGGCGAAGGCAGCCCCCUGGGAUGAUACUGACGCUCAUGCACGAAAGCGUGGGGAUCAAACA
Molecule: ribosomal RNA, 427 nt
Filed under: uncultured bacterium
Lineage: Bacteria
Description: bacterial SSU rRNA
Rfam family: Bacterial small subunit ribosomal RNA
Source: RNAcentral